Molecule: ribosomal RNA, 390 nt
Filed under: uncultured bacterium
Lineage: Bacteria
Description: bacterial SSU rRNA
Rfam family: Bacterial small subunit ribosomal RNA
Source: RNAcentral
GUUGGUGAGGUAACGGCUCACCAAGGCGACGACGGGUAGCCGGCCUGAGAGGGCGACCGGCCACACUGGGACUGAGACACGGCCCAGACUCCUACGGGAGGCAGCAGUGGGGAAUAUUGCACAAUGGGCGCAAGCCUGAUGCAGCGACGCCGCGUGAGGGAUGACGGCCUUCGGGUUGUAAACCUCUUUCAGCAGGGAAGAAGCGAAAGUGACGGUACCUGCAGAAGAAGCGCCGGCUAACUACGUGCCAGCAGCCGCGGUAAUACGUAGGGCGCAAGCGUUGUCCGGAAUUAUUGGGCGUAAAGAGCUCGUAGGCGGCUUGUCACGUCGGGUGUGAAAGCCCGGGGCUUAACCCCGGGUCUGCAUUCGAUACGGGCAGGCUAGAGUGUG